UCAGUGAGCAAUCACCGCUGUGAAGGUGCUGCAUGGUUGUCGUCAGCUCGUGCCGUGAGGUGUCGGCUUAAGUGCCAUAACGAGCGCAACCCUUAUCUUCAGUUACUAACAGGUCAUGCUGAGGACUCUGGAGAGACUGCCGUCGUAAGAUGUGAGGAAGGUGGGGAUGACGUCAAAUCAGCACGGCCCUUACGUCCGGGGCUACACACGUGUUACAAUGGGGGGUACAGAAGGCAGCUACCUGGUGACAGGAUGCUAAUCCCAAAAGCCUCUCUCAGUUCGGAUCGAAGUCUGCAACCCGACUUCGUGAAGCUGGAUUCGCUAGUAAUCGCGCAUCAGCCACGGCGCGGUGAAUACGUUCCCGGGCCUUGUACACACCGCCCGUCAAGCCAUGGGAGCCGGGGGUACCUGAAGUACGUAACCGCAAGGAGCGUCCUAGGGUAAAACUGGUGACUGGGGCUAAGUCGUAACAAGGUAGCCGUACCGGAAGGUGCGGCUGGAACACCUCCUUU
RNAcentral lists this ribosomal RNA (512 nucleotides) under Bacteroides fragilis. RNAcentral's name for it is "bacterial SSU rRNA". It matches the Rfam family "Bacterial small subunit ribosomal RNA", at positions 1012 to 1533 of the family's 1533-position model. Lineage: Bacteria; Pseudomonadati; Bacteroidota; Bacteroidia; Bacteroidales; Bacteroidaceae. The record is from RNAcentral. RNAcentral also lists the same sequence under 1 other name.